GCUGGCGGCACGCCUAACACAUGCAAGUCGAACGAAGUAGCAAUACUUAGUGGCAGACGGGUGAGUAACAUGUAGGUAUCUGCCCUUUGGCCUGGAAUAACACGAGGAAACUUGUGCUAAUACCGGAUAAGUCUUUACGGAGAAAGCUUUAUGCACCAUUGGAUGAGCCUGCACUUGAUUAGUUUGUUGGUGGGGUAAUGGCCUACCAAGACUGUGAUCAAUAGCUGAUUUGAGAGGAUGAUCAGCCACAUUGGGACUGAGACACGGCCCAAACUCCUACGGGAGGCAGCAGUGGGGAAUCUUGCACAAUGGAGGAAACUCUGAUGCAGCGAUGCCGCGUGAGUGAAGAAGGCCUUUGGGUUGUAAAGCUCUUUCGUCGGGGAAGAAAAUGACUGUACCCGAAUAAGAAGGUCCGGCUAACUUCGUGCCAGCAGCCGCGGUAAUACGAAGGGACCUAGCGUAGUUCGGAAUUACUGGGCUUAAAGAGUUCGUAGGUGGUUGAAAAAGUUGGUGGUGAAAUCCCAGAGCUUAACUCUGGAACUGCCAUCAAAACUUUUCAGCUAGAGUAUGAUAGAGGAAAGCAGAAUUUCUAGUGUAGAGGUGAAAUUCGUAGAUAUUAGAAAGAAUACCAAUUGCGAAGGCAGCUUUCUGGAUCAUUACUGACACUGAGGAACGAAAGCAUGGGUAGCGAAGAGGAUUAGAUACCCUCGUAGUCCAUGCCGUAAACGAUGUGUGUUAGACGUUGGAAAUUUAUUUUCAGUGUCGCAGCGAAAGCGAUAAACACACCGCCUGGGGAGUACG
This 801-nucleotide ribosomal RNA is filed under the name uncultured Pelagibacteraceae bacterium. RNAcentral's name for it is "bacterial SSU rRNA". It matches the Rfam family "Bacterial small subunit ribosomal RNA", at positions 35 to 884 of the family's 1533-position model. Lineage: Bacteria; Pseudomonadati; Pseudomonadota; Alphaproteobacteria; Candidatus Pelagibacterales; Candidatus Pelagibacteraceae. The record is from RNAcentral.